This is an RNA transcript of Peromyscus californicus insignis, 3382 nucleotides long. It is a transcript of the gene named nudix hydrolase 5, with no coding region annotated. The record is from RefSeq and is a predicted model, not a curated record. Lineage: Eukaryota; Metazoa; Chordata; Mammalia; Rodentia; Cricetidae. The transcript has 9 exons.
AACCUCCUUGCACCACGAGAGGCGCCGGUGUCUUCUAGUGGUAGCUACUGCUUCUAAGAAGAGACUGCGGCUUCUGUCUGAUUGUUUUUCCUUUCCUCCUCCAUCCCUUCCACAUCCCACAGCUUAGUAUAGCGGAACUUUCCACCUGAGGACUUCAGAGACCAACUGGAUUGGAAUGGAGAACCAGGAACCCACAGACCCUCCUCAGAACACCAGACAGCACCUCAUUUCAGAGGAGUUGAUUUCAGAAGGAAAAUGGGUCAAAUUUGAAAAAACAACUUACAUGGAUCCUACUGGGAAAACGAGAACUUGGGAAACAGUGAAACUUACAACCAGGAAGGGGAAAUCUGCUGACGCCGUGUCUAUCAUCCCAGUGCUGCAAAGAACUCUUCAUUACGAGUGUAUUGUUCUGGUGAAGCAGUUCCGACCCCCAAUGGGUGGCUACUGCCUGGAGUUUCCAGCAGGGCUCAUCGAUGAUGGUGAGAGCCCAGAAGCAGCCGCUCUCCGGGAGCUAGAGGAAGAAACCGGCUACAAAGGUGAUGUCGCUGAGUGUUCUCCAGCUGUGUGUCUGGAUCCAGGCUUGUCGAACUGUACCACACAUGUUGUCACAGUAACCAUCAAUGGAGAUGAUGCGGAAAAUGUAAGGCCGAAGCCCAAACCAGGGGAUGGAGGUAUGCUAUUCAACUCCCAGUGGCUGGCCCUGUGAUGGCUUAGUGUAGUGGUAACGAUGGCUGCGGACAUUUGGGGCUGUUGGGGUUCACUCCUGAUCUUCAGCUUUGUUUUACUGUAUUCUGUUUGUUUAGAAUUUGUGGAAGUGAUUUGUUUACCAAAGAAUGACCUGUUGACUAGACUUGACGCUUUGGUAGCAGAAGACCAUCUUACAGUGGAUGCCAGGCUCUACGCCUAUGCUCUGGCACUGAAACACGCCAACUCGAAGCCAUUCGAAGUACCCUUCCUCAAAUUUUAAGGCCAAGGAGGACACUGGCCAUGUUUUGUAAAUGAGACCAUAAGGCCUUCACUAUUCAAUGUAUUCAAUUAAGUUUAAUGUAGAUCAGAAAUCAGCUUUUUCAUAAAAUAAAAGCAGCACAGACUGCAUGUGGUAUGGAAUUAUAAUUACAGAGAGGAUGUAACCUUCAUUUAAACUUGUUAAAUGCUCAUGAAAAAAGAACAUAAAUGUAGGUAGGUAUGUUAAAAUUUCUUACCUUCACCUAGUCUAGAAGGUGAGGGUAUUUCUCAGGAAUAGACUUGAGCUCCAAAUUAGGUCAGCUAUUUCCACCCUCAACUCCUAAAAUAAAAAUGAUGUACUUAGGUCUGCAAAUAUUUUGAAACAUGAACCUAAUAACUAAGAAGAUUGGGAUUUUGUUGAGACAGGGUCGCUGGCCUGGCACUUGCUUUGUAGACCAGGCUGCCUUUGAACUCCCAGAGAUCGGCCUGCCUCUGCCUCUCCAAGUGCUGGGAUUAAAGGUGUGCACUACCACACCAGGCCAAAAUAAGUUUUAAAAGAGACUCUGAUAGGGACUUAAUUGGCUUCUCCCAAUUCUAAUUGACUUGCCACAUGGAAUUUUAUUUGGGUAGUAGAUUUAAGAUCAACAGAGAAUAACAUUUGUGGGAAAUAUGUAGAUACUUGUCAUACAUGGCUUGUAAUCCACCUCCUUGGGAAGCUGAGGCAGGAGAUCAUAAAUGUGGCCGGCCUGGGCUGCAUAAUGAAACUAUCUCAAAUAAUUUUUAAAAUGUAUUUAAUAUCCUUAUAAGGCCAUUUACUUCCUAAAAACAUACCAAGACUAAUGCUUCAGUAGUGAAGAUUGUUAAUUCUUAAUAUAUUAAGGCUAAGCUAAGGCUGAAAACUCAGGGCCCUUCCCUCAAGUGUACACAUACUUUAAUUUCCUAUCCUCAGAAAAUUGUUUUCUAAAGCUACAUCCAUAGUCAAAAGAUUGGCAUGGACUCUACUUGUGUAUGAAUGUUAACAGUCAUAGGUAUAGGCAGAUAUAUUAGCCAACUAUCUGAAACAUAAAACAAACGACACUGGAAAUGCAGCAGUGGUUUCGAGUGCAUGCCAUACCUAAAACUUAUCACCCGAGAGUUCUGGGACCAUAUCCUUUUUCUGAGGAGCUCCGCUAGUAUCUGAUUACUGUAGCUUCCAACAGCUCAAGGAUUGUCGUCUUGCAGUUCAGCCACUAGCAGCACUCAGCAUGAUGAUGUUGGCCAGCUCAGUAUGUCUGCAGCUGGAUCCAGGGUCAAGGCGGAGUCAGAACCUUCUAAGAGCAGUUUUCCCAUGUACAGUCCAAUGCUAAGUGUUAUCACCAACAGGUAUUUAUGAACAAAAAUGUAAGGUCUUUAUACAAAUCUUUAUAUUGGACUUCUUAAAUAAGGAUGGAAAUAAUUCUGGAACUUUAUAGACCAAGUCUGCUUUCCUAAUGAAUGUGAAAAAUAAGACCCACCCCUUUACAUCACAGCCUUCCCUGUGAUUCUAACCCUCUUUUAAAAAAAAAAUCUUUUUUAAUCAUGCGCAUUGUAUUUCUCCAGUGAUACUAAUUUUUCCCAUGAGUUCCUCAGGAUCUCUAUUUCUUGGUGUUGCUUCCAUCCUUUGAAAUGAAGACACAGGCUCCACACAUUCACCCUUUCCAUAGAGCAAUUCCAGAGCCAGGUGCAAUGGGAAUGCCUUUGGUAUUAGCCAGGACACAAGAUUUGUCCCAUUCUCCCUGGCCUUUGGGUCUUUCCUCUAGGAGUGCAACUGAGCAGUGACAGCUACCUCCUAGACUUGUCCUUAGUACCAUUUGUAUUACGUAUGCACCUUGGAAGUCCUGCCUUGGAGGUGAAGUCAACUCAAGCGAGCUGGCCAUCUGGGUGUCUGCACUCCUCACACUGUUUAUUGCCUACAUUUUUAAAAAGCUGUCCUUUUUGCAUUCGUUUGUAAAACACACAACGUGGGUUCUAAUACCCCAGGGUGUUUCCCAGUGCCUGACCUUCACUCAUGUCUUGCCUCCAUAUGACUUGUGAUCCAAGCUAAGGCAGUCCUACCUCCCAUUCCUACUAAGGAAAUCAAUGACUGAAACUGUACUUCUGAAAAUAACUUAAAAAUUAAAUUUGGUAAUUUUUUUUGGAAAAUAAAGUAUGCACUCUAAAAGUACUAGAGUAUGUUUUGAGACACUUUGCCUGCCCCUUUCAAAUAUGCCAUGAGUACCCUUCAAUUGCUACUGUCUUUCAGUAAUUUAGAUUUGAAGGAUGGUUACAUUUAACUACUUUAAGCCUAUGUGGAUGGGUUCCAUAUAAAAUACUCUGAGCCUACAGAAAUAAUCUUAGAGAACACUUAAUACCACAUCUCUUUAUUUUUCCAACACAACUGCAACAGUUUAUUAAAUAAACAUUUAUUGUCUACUGUUUA